Molecule: long non-coding RNA, 251 nt
Filed under: Gossypium raimondii (Peruvian cotton)
Lineage: Eukaryota; Viridiplantae; Streptophyta; Magnoliopsida; Malvales; Malvaceae
Description: long non-coding RNA (GRAI_LNC006534)
Source: RNAcentral
UGGUGUUGGCUAGUGUUUCUAGUUGAGUUAAAUUAUAACUCUGGGGGAAGGGGAGAAUCUGAUAAGUGAUCAAAAUCCAAUCAGUUGGUUGGAUUAGCUAAAUUGUUUUGCACGUUCCUCUUACCCUUUAGUUUCUUUUAUCUUUUGUUUUGUUUUUUUUCUUUUUUUUUUCUUUUUCGUUCCUUUCACAUUCAGCCAUUCAUGUUCUUUUGUUUUUGUGCCUUCUUCGUUAAUGCUCUUUUCGUGCUCCC